Molecule: ribosomal RNA, 406 nt
Filed under: uncultured bacterium
Lineage: Bacteria
Description: partial 16S ribosomal RNA
Rfam family: Bacterial small subunit ribosomal RNA
Source: RNAcentral
AUUGAACGCUGGCGGCAUGCCUAACACAUGCAAGUCGAGCGAGCGGCGGACGGGCGAGUAGUGUAUGGGGAUCUGCCCGAUAGAGGGAGAUAACUACUGGAAACGGUGGCUACUAGCGCAUACUAUCGGUUGAACCCAUAUGGGAUUAGCUAGUAGGUGGGGUAAAGGCUCACCUAGGCGACGAUCUCUAGCUAGUCUGAGAGGAUGAUCAGCCACACUGGGACUGAGACACGGCCCAGACUCCUACGGGAGGCAGCAGUGGGGAAUAUUGCACAAUGGGCGCAAGCCUGAUGCAGCCAUGCCGCGUGUAUGAAGAAGGCCUUAGGGUUGUAAAGUUCUUUCAGCGGGGAAGCGUUACCCGCAGAAGAAGCACCGGCUAACUCCGUGCCAGCAGCCGCGGUAAUUC